Long non-coding RNA from Lagopus leucura (white-tailed ptarmigan), 164 nucleotides. RefSeq lists it as uncharacterized. NCBI's taxonomy places the organism in Eukaryota, Metazoa, Chordata, Aves, Galliformes, Phasianidae. The record is from RefSeq and is a predicted model, not a curated record. The transcript is spliced from 3 exons.
CACAGCUUCUAAAGAUUCCCUUUUAGACUCAGAGAUUCAGGAGUGGUACCUGCUUCUUGCUGUGACUGAAGGAGGAUCAGCCAGUACAAAGACAUUAGUACAGCAUAGAAACUUGCCUAAUAUUUAACCACAAACAUUUAGGGCUGGGAAGCUCUGGAUCUGAC